RNAcentral lists this ribosomal RNA (731 nucleotides) under uncultured bacterium. RNAcentral describes it as "bacterial SSU rRNA". It matches the Rfam family "Bacterial small subunit ribosomal RNA", at positions 771 to 1501 of the family's 1533-position model. The record is from RNAcentral.
AACAGGAUUAGAUACCCUGGUAGUCCACGCUGUAAACGAUGUCGAUUUGGAGGUUGUGCCCUUGAGGCGUGGCUUCCGGAGCUAACGCGUUAAAUCGACCGCCUGGGGAGUACGGCCGCAAGGUUAAAACUCAAAUGAAUUGACGGGGGCCCGCACAAGCGGUGGAGCAUGUGGUUUAAUUCGAUGCAACGCGAAGAACCUUACCUACUCUUGACAUCCAGAGAACUUUCCAGAGAUGGAUUGGUGCCUUCGGGAACUCUGAGACAGGUGCUGCAUGGCUGUCGUCAGCUCGUGUUGUGAAAUGUUGGGUUAAGUCCCGCAACGAGCGCAACCCUUAUCCUUUGUUGCCAGCGGUUCGGCCGGGAACUCAAAGGAGACUGCCAGUGAUAAACUGGAGGAAGGUGGGGAUGGCGUCAAGUCAUCAUGGCCCUUACGAGUAGGGCUACACACGUGCUACAAUGGCGUAUACAAAGAGAAGCGACCUCGCGAGAGCAAGCGGACCUCAUAAAGUACGUCGUAGUCCGGAUUGGAGUCUGCAACUCGACUCCAUGAAGUCGGAAUCGCUAGUAAUCGUAGAUCAGAAUGCUACGGUGAAUACGUUCCCGGGCCUUGUACACACCGCCCGUCACACCAUGGGAGUGGGUUGCAAAAGAAGUAGGUAGCUUAACCUUCGGGAGGGCGCUUACCACUUUGUGAUUCAUGACUGGGGGUGAAGUCGUAACAAGGUAACC